CGCCAACACUGGGACUGAGAACUGCCCAGACUCCUACGGGAGGCUGCAGUCGAGAAUCAUUCGCAAUGGGCGAAAGCCUGACGAUGCGACGCCGUGUGAGCGAAGAAGGCCUUAGGGUCGUAAAGCUCUUUCGCUUGGGAACAAGAGAAGUAGACUAAUAAUCUACAAAUUUGAGCGUACCAGGUAAAGAAGCAC
Molecule: ribosomal RNA, 195 nt
Filed under: uncultured Chlamydiales bacterium
Lineage: Bacteria; Pseudomonadati; Chlamydiota; Chlamydiia; Chlamydiales
Description: partial 16S ribosomal RNA
Rfam family: Bacterial small subunit ribosomal RNA
Source: RNAcentral